Molecule: ribosomal RNA, 506 nt
Filed under: uncultured bacterium
Lineage: Bacteria
Description: partial 16S ribosomal RNA
Rfam family: Bacterial small subunit ribosomal RNA
Source: RNAcentral
AUUGAACGCUGGCGGCAGGCCUAACACAUGCAAGUCGAACGGCAGCACAGAAGAGCUUGCUCUUUGGGUGGCGAGUGGCGGACGGGUGAGUAAUGUCUGGGAAACUGCCCGAUGGAGGGGGAUAACUACUGGAAACGGUAGCUAAUACCGCAUAACGUCGCAAGACCAAAGUGGGGGACCUUCGGGCCUCACACCAUCGGAUGUGCCCAGAUGGGAUUAGCUAGUAGGUGGGGUAAUGGCUCACCUAGGCGACGAUCCCUAGCUGGUCUGAGAGGAUGACCAGCCACACUGGAACUGAGACACGGUCCAGACUCCGACGGGAGGCAGCAGUGGGGAAUAUUGCACAAUGGGCGCAAGCCUGAUGCAGCCAUGCCGCGUGUAUGGAGAAGGCCUUCGGGUUGUAAAGUACUUUCAGCGGGGAGGAAGGCGGUGAGGUUAAUAACCUUGCCGAUUGACGUUACCCGCAGAAGAAGCACCGGCUAACUCCGUGCCAGCCGCCGCCGUAA